UGCACACCGCCCGUCACACCAUGAGAGUUUGUAACACCCAAAGCCGGUGGGGUAACCUUUUGGAGCCAGCCGUCUAAGGUGGGACAGAUGAUUGGGGUGAAGUCGUAACAAGGUAAC
Molecule: ribosomal RNA, 117 nt
Filed under: uncultured bacterium
Lineage: Bacteria
Description: partial 16S ribosomal RNA
Rfam family: Bacterial small subunit ribosomal RNA
Source: RNAcentral